GCAAGUUCGAACGGACAUCUUCGGAUGUUAGUGGCGAACGGUCGCGUAACACGUAAGCAACCUGCCCUAAAGUGGGGGAUAACAAUCCGAAAGGAUUGCUAAUACCGCAUGUGAACAUUUAGUCGCCUGACUUUAUGUUUAAAGAUUUAUCGCUUUAGGAUGGGCUUGCGGCCUAUCAGGUAGUUGGUGGGGUAAUGGCCUACCAAGCCUUUGACGGGUAGCUGGUCUGAGAGGACGAUCAGCCGGAUUGGGACUGAGAUACGGCCCAGACUCCUACGGGGGGCAGCAAUUAGGAAUCUUGCGCAAUGGACGAAAGUCUGACGCAGCGACGCCGCGUGAGGGAUGACGGCCUUCGGGUUGUAAACCUCUUUUAUCAGGGAAGAAGAAUGUGACGGUACCUGAUGAAUAAGCCCCGGCUAACUACGUGCCAGCAGCCGCGGUAAUACGUAGGGGGCGAGCGUUGUCCGAAGUUACUGGGCGUAAAGCGCACGUAGGCGGUUAUCUAAGUCUGGGGUGAAAGGUUCAGUGCUUAACGCGAACAGUGCCUUGGAGACUGGAUGACUUGAGUUUGGGAGAGGGUAGUGGAAUGGCUGGUGUAGCGGUGAAAUGCGUAGAUAUCAGUCGGAACACCAAUGGCGAAGGCAGCUACCUGGCCUAAAACUGACGCUGAGGUGCGAAAGCGUGGGGAGCGAACGGGAUUAGAUACCCCGGUAGUCCACGCCGUAAACGAUGAGUGCUAGGUGUCGGGGGUAUC
This 754-nucleotide ribosomal RNA is filed under the name uncultured Actinomycetes bacterium. RNAcentral describes it as "bacterial SSU rRNA". It matches the Rfam family "Bacterial small subunit ribosomal RNA", at positions 57 to 833 of the family's 1533-position model. The record is from RNAcentral. Lineage: Bacteria; Bacillati; Actinomycetota; Actinomycetes.